GGUGAACGCUGGCGGCGUGCCUAAUACAUGCAAGUCGAGCGAACAGAUAAGGAGCUUGCUCCUUUGACGUUAGCGGCGGACGGGUGAGUAACACGUGGAUAACCUACCUAUAAGACUGGGAUAACUUCGGGAAACCGGAGCUAAUACCGGAUAACAUAUUGAACCGCAUGGUUCAAUAGUGAAAGGCGGCUUUGCUGUCACUUAUAGAUGGAUCCGCGCCGUAUUAGCUAGUUGGUAAGGUAACGGCUUACCAAGGCAACGAUACGUAGCCGACCUGAGAGGGUGAUCGGCCACACUGGAACUGAGACACGGUCCAGACUCCUACGGGAGGCAGCAGUAGGGAAUCUUCCGCAAUGGGCGAAAGCCUGACGGAGCAACGCCGCGUGAGUGAUGAAGGUCUUCGGAUCGUAAAACUCUGUUAUCAGGGAAGAACAAAUGUGUAAGUAACUGUGCACAUCUUGACGGUACCUGAUCAGAAAGCCACGGCUAACUACGUG
Molecule: ribosomal RNA, 497 nt
Filed under: uncultured bacterium
Lineage: Bacteria
Description: partial 16S ribosomal RNA
Rfam family: Bacterial small subunit ribosomal RNA
Source: RNAcentral